UACGAAGGGGGCUAGCGUUGCUCGGAAUCACUGGGCGUAAAGCGCACGUAGGCGGAUUGUUAAGUCAGGGGUGAAAUCCUGGAGCUCAACUCCAGAACUGCCUUUGAUACUGGCGAUCUCGAGUCCGGGAGAGGUGAGUGGAACUGCGAGUGUAGAGGUGAAAUUCGUAGAUAUUCGCAAGAACACCAGUGGCGAAGGCGGCAUCCUGGACCAACACUGACACUGAGGAGCGAAAGCCAGGGGAGCAAACGGG
This 253-nucleotide ribosomal RNA is filed under the name uncultured bacterium. Its description in RNAcentral is "partial 16S ribosomal RNA". It matches the Rfam family "Bacterial small subunit ribosomal RNA", at positions 524 to 776 of the family's 1533-position model. The record is from RNAcentral.